GAUGAACGCUGGCGGCGUGCCUAAUACAUGCAAGUCGAGCGAACAGACGAGGAGCUUGCUCCUCUGACGUUAGCGGCGGACGGGUGAGUAACACGUGGAUAACCUACCUAUAAGACUGGGAUAACUUCGGGAAACCGGAGCUAAUACCGGAUAAUAUAUUGAACCGCAUGGUUCAAUAGUGAAAGACGGUUUUGCUGUAACUUAUAGAUGGAUCCGCGCCGCAUUAGCUAGUUGGUAAGGUAACGGCUUACCAAGGCAGCGAUGCGUAGCCGACCUGAGAGGGUGAUCGGCCACACUGGAACUGAGACACGGUCCAGACUCCUACGGGAGGCAGCAGUAGGGAAUCUUCCGCAAUGGGCGAAAGCCUGACGGAGCAACGCCGCGUGAGUGAUGAAGGUCUUCGGAUCGUAAAACUCUGUUAUGAGGGAAGAACAAAUGUGUAAGUAACUAUGCACGUCUUGACGGUACCUAAUCAGAAAGCCACGGCUAACUACGUG
This 497-nucleotide ribosomal RNA is filed under the name uncultured bacterium. Its description in RNAcentral is "partial 16S ribosomal RNA". It matches the Rfam family "Bacterial small subunit ribosomal RNA", at positions 28 to 507 of the family's 1533-position model. The record is from RNAcentral.